GACGAACGCUGGCGGCGUGCUUAACACAUGCAAGUCGAGCGGUAAAGCCCUUUCGGGGGUACGACGAGCGGCGAACGGGUGAGUAACACGUGGGUGACCUGCCCUCAGCUCUGGGAUAAGCCUGGGAAACUGGGUCUAAUACUGGAUAUGACUCCACGGUGCAUGUCGUGGGGUGGAAAGCCUUGUGCGGCUGAGGAUGGGCCCGCGGCCUAUCAGCUUGUUGGUGGGGUGANGGCCUACCAAGGCGACGACGGGUAGCCGGCCUGAGAGGGCGACCGGCCACACUGGGACUGAGACACGGCCCAGACUCCUACGGGAGGCAGCAGUGGGGAAUCUUGCGCAAUGGGCGAAAGCCUGACGCAGCGACGCCGCGUGAGGGAUGACGGCCU
RNAcentral lists this ribosomal RNA (389 nucleotides) under uncultured bacterium. RNAcentral describes it as "bacterial SSU rRNA". It matches the Rfam family "Bacterial small subunit ribosomal RNA", at positions 28 to 417 of the family's 1533-position model. The record is from RNAcentral.